AUGUGGUUUACAAGACAGGAGAUGACAAAGCCUGAGAAUAGAAAAGUUUUGCAUUUUCUUCACUCAAGUUGUAUUCCCACGGAAUGGCAGGCCAUGACUUUCCUCACAUGUUGCCUUUAUAAUGUAAACAAUGGAAAAGCAAACCCUGAGGUAGCUUUAUCAUUAGAAGAUAUAGGGGAGGAAUUGACCAAUUUCUAUAGACUUGGAACCCCCCCUCAAAAAAAAAAAAAAAAAAACAACUGAGGAUGUGUUUUGUGGCAUAUAAAGAAAGCUAAAAUUUCUUUUAAUGGUCAUAUAGAACCCUCUCCUAAAAUAAGUGUCCUUAUUUGAAAAGGUAAAGCAUAAUUUGCUUUUCCCUCUUAGAAAUUAUUUUUAUUUAUUUAUUCAAGAGACAGGCAAAUAGAGAGAAAGAGAGAGACUGCUCCUCUCUGCUAGUUUGCUCCCUGAAAAGGAGCAAAUGUCUGGAGAACAAAGCUGGGAGCCAGGAACUCAAUCCAGAUUGCCCACUGGGUGACAGGAGCCCGACUGUUCCAUCCUCACCACGGCCUUCCUGGUCUGCAUUAGCAGGAAGCCACACUGAGCAGACAGAGCAGGUAUGGAACCCAGGUGCUCUAAUAGGGGAUGCAGGCCAAAUGAUUUCUCAGAGAAUUUUUUCUCUGUUGGGUUACUUUUCACAGGUGCAUGUAGGACCUGCCAUUAAGAAUGGAAUAGCAAUCGUUUACUGAUACUGCAAUCUGCCCUCCGGAGCACCUUUUGUUAGUAGACAGAGAAGGAUGCUACUGGGGUGGUUUUGUUGAGGAGAUCCUGGGAAGAUUUUGCUCCAGGUAACAAUGCUGCUGCGUCACUGAUGCCUUAAACUCCAGAGCUGGAAAUAUUCCAUUCAGCAAACCACAGACGAACAGCACAUGCUGCACACUGGGAAUCAAAUGGUACUUUUCCUCUCUCCUUAGCAACCACCAAGAUCAGAAAGGAUUCGCUCACUGAUGGCCCGCAGGAGAGAGCUGGAUUCUCAGACUGCAAAGUUUUGGUGGGGAUGACACAUGCGAUUACUGUUUCUAAUGAGCAAGUCAGUGGUUGUUCUGACAAAACUGAACAGUUAUCUUGUGGGGGCUCAUGAAGGGGUCUGCCAUAGUGUGUCACAAGAGAUUGGUUCUGUUAGUCUCCCGUUGUAGUCUAAUCCAUAGUACAGUUUUUAAUUAAAAAAAAAAGUUAGGCCUUCUCCAAAGCAUUAAAUAACUUUGAUGACAGUUUUCCAGAUAGAAUCCUGUUAUUCUCUGGUUCUCUAAAAUCACCAUGAUUAAAUCAGUCAGAGGCUAGGUACGUGGGUAUAUACUGUCUUCCAUAAAAAAAAAGAAAAUCUCUCUGAUUGAAUAGAGCAAAAUGAGUUUUUCAUUUCCUAUGUGUUCCAGUUGUGAAAAGAAAGUCCUAGAUCACUCACUUUAUUGAGAAUUGCAGUUGCUCUGACUUGAAUGGACAUUUUUCUUCUGAAUGAAGAGUUUGACAAGAGAUGAGUCAGCAUUUUCUGUGAUUAAUCGAAUGCCACUUAGCAGACGGUGGGGGACAGAAAAACAAUGUCUUGCAAUCACUGUGCUAAUCCAGACCUGAAAUCCAUUUGCAGUGCACGUGGCCCAGGCUCGAGAAUCAGCAGGUAGGGAAAUCAUCAGUGGCCCAUUAUCACUCUCACAUCAUCUGCUUCUUAAUUACACCACAAUUAGAUCAGGGAUAAUUACUUUGAUUUCUAUUAUUAUUGCUCAGAAUACCUUGGUAUCUUCGAAUCAUAAUGCUAUAAGGAAAUUUAAAGCUCAUCAAUUUUAAUAAUCAUAUUCAGAGGAAGUCGGAAGGACCAAAGAGUUUAAGUGACCUGUCCAAGAUCACACUCAUAGUUAUUAAAACUAUUUAAAUUAAUUAUACCACUGCAUAAUUAAUAAACUUAUUCAGGCACCAAUAUUUUGAGUGUAG
RNAcentral lists this long non-coding RNA (1959 nucleotides) under Oryctolagus cuniculus (rabbit). RNAcentral's name for it is "lncRNA (ENSOCUG00000038910.1)". The record is from RNAcentral. Lineage: Eukaryota; Metazoa; Chordata; Mammalia; Lagomorpha; Leporidae.